GAGCAGGUAGCUUAGUGGAUAAAGUAUUAGAUUCCGAUUCUAAAGACAAGGGUUCGAUUCCCUUCCUGCUCU
This 72-nucleotide transfer RNA is filed under the name Rhizochromulina marina. RNAcentral's name for it is "tRNA-Arg". It matches the Rfam family "tRNA". Rfam says of the family: Transfer RNA (tRNA) molecules are approximately 80 nucleotides in length. Their secondary structure includes four short double-helical elements and three loops (D, anti-codon, and T loops). The record is from RNAcentral. Lineage: Eukaryota; Dictyochophyceae; Rhizochromulinales.